UACGAAGGGGGCGAGCGUUGUUCGGAAUCACUGGGCGUAAAGGGCGCGUAGGCGGCCCUCUUUGUCGCGUGUGAAAGCCCCGGGCUCAACCUGGGAACGGCGCGCGAAACGGGGGGGCUGGAGUUCGGGAGAGGAGAGUGGAAUUCCCAGUGUAGAGGUGAAAUUCGUAGAUAUCAAGCAGAACACCUGCGGCGAAGGCGGCCUUCUGGACGAUGACUGACGCUGAGACGCGAAAGCGUGGGGAGCAAACAGG
RNAcentral lists this ribosomal RNA (253 nucleotides) under uncultured bacterium. RNAcentral's name for it is "partial 16S ribosomal RNA". It matches the Rfam family "Bacterial small subunit ribosomal RNA", at positions 524 to 776 of the family's 1533-position model. The record is from RNAcentral.